This 345-nucleotide long non-coding RNA is filed under the name Salvia miltiorrhiza (redroot sage). Its description in RNAcentral is "long non-coding RNA (SMIL_LNC012965)". The record is from RNAcentral. Lineage: Eukaryota; Viridiplantae; Streptophyta; Magnoliopsida; Lamiales; Lamiaceae.
ACAACAUAUGUCAAAAACAUGCAUUAUCAUAAUCAACAUUCAUUACAAUAAUCUAGAACGUCAUGAAACAAGUUUCAAACAUGAACUAACAACUUUAAAAUAUAACAAAGUUUCAAAAUUCGACUUUCAACAAGUUCUUUAACAACUAUAGAUGACAUUUCUUCACUUUGUAUCCAAGCUAGUAUCCAUCAUAUAGCCUGCAAAAUUCAAGUCAAUAACAACAAUUAAUACAAUACCAUUAUCUUUUAAAUGAAAACAACUCCCAACAUAAAAGACAAAGAAACAUCAUUUCAUUCCACUUUAAUUAUCAUCCACCAUUAAUUAAACAUAUAAAAUACAUGAAAG